UACGUAGGGGGCGAGCGUCGUCCGGAUUUAUUGGGCGUAAAGAGCGUGUAGGCGGCCAGGUAGGUCAGCUGUGAAAACUCGAGGCUCAACCUCGAGAUGUCGGCUGAAACCAUCUGGCUAGAGUCCGGAAGAGGAGAAUGGAAUUCCCGGUGUGAGCGGUGAAAUGCGCAGAUAUCGGGAAGAACACCCGUGGCGAAGGCGGUUCUCUGGGACGGUACUGACGCUGAGACGCGAAAGCGUGGGGAGCGAACAGG
Molecule: ribosomal RNA, 254 nt
Filed under: uncultured bacterium
Lineage: Bacteria
Description: partial 16S ribosomal RNA
Rfam family: Bacterial small subunit ribosomal RNA
Source: RNAcentral